RNAcentral lists this ribosomal RNA (253 nucleotides) under uncultured bacterium. Its description in RNAcentral is "partial 16S ribosomal RNA". It matches the Rfam family "Bacterial small subunit ribosomal RNA", at positions 524 to 776 of the family's 1533-position model. The record is from RNAcentral.
UACGGAGGGGGCUAGCGUUGUUCGGAAUUACUGGGCGUAAAGGGCGCGUAGGCGGCUUGGCAAGUGGAUGGUGAAAUCCCUCGGCUUAACCGAGGAACUGCCAUCCAGACUGCUUUGCUUGAGGCCGGGAGAGGUGAGUGGAAUUCCCAGUGUAGCGGUGAAAUGCGUAGAUAUUGGGAGGAACACCAGUGGCGAAGGCGGCUCACUGGACCGGUUCUGACGCUGAUGCGCGAAAGCGUGGGGAGCAAACGGG